UACGUAGGUGGCGAGCGUUAUCCGGAAUGAUUGGGCGUAAAGGGUGCGCAGGCGGCCUGUUAAGUCAGCGGUAAAAGCCCGGGGCUCAACCCCGGCGAGCCGUUGAAACUGGCAGACUUGAGUUGGCGAGAAGUACGCGGAAUGCGCGGUGUAGCGGUGAAAUGCAUAGAUAUCACGCAGAACGCCGAUUGCGAAGGCAGCAUACCGGCGCCCAACUGACGCUGAGGCACGAAAGCGUGGGGAUCGAACAGG
RNAcentral lists this ribosomal RNA (252 nucleotides) under uncultured Bacteroidales bacterium. RNAcentral describes it as "partial 16S ribosomal RNA". It matches the Rfam family "Bacterial small subunit ribosomal RNA", at positions 524 to 776 of the family's 1533-position model. Lineage: Bacteria; Pseudomonadati; Bacteroidota; Bacteroidia; Bacteroidales. The record is from RNAcentral.